Gymnothorax javanicus (giant moray) is the source of this 74-nucleotide non-coding RNA. The record is from the annotation of a GenBank genome assembly. Lineage: Eukaryota; Metazoa; Chordata; Actinopteri; Anguilliformes; Muraenidae.
GCCCCGGUGGCUCAGUGGUAACUCUCCCGCCUGCAGUGUGGGAGACCUGGGUUCGGAACCCCACCAUCAGUGCC